UUCUGGCUCAGGAUGAACGCUGAAAGUAUGCAUUACACAUGCGAGUUUGUUACUAUAAAAAAAAUAAUAAGCGUACGGGUGCGUAAUACAGAGGUAUGAUUGUCCAGAAAUUGAGGAGCAACUCAAAUGGUACAAACCGUUUCUGGGUUAACUUUUGGAGGAUCAGGAUGUUGGUGUGGUAGCGGCACACCUAGCCACAGACCCUUAGCUGUGUUGAAAGAUGGUACAGCCACAUUGGAACUGAGAUAAGGUCUAAGCUUUGUUUAAAGCCUGCAGUGGGGAAUUCUGGGCAAUGGGCGAAAAGCCUGACCCGGCAAUACUUUGGGAUGACGAAGAGCUUUUGUAAAAUCCUAGUUUAUUUUUUUAUCAUGAAAAAAAAAUAAAAAUUACUAGCCCCGGCAAAUUUCUGUGCCAGCAGCCGCGGUAAGACAGAAGGGGCUAGUGUUAUCCAUCAUGAUUAGGUGUAAAAGGUAUGUAGGUGGUGCGCACAGUACUGG
RNAcentral lists this ribosomal RNA (497 nucleotides) under uncultured bacterium. Its description in RNAcentral is "partial 16S ribosomal RNA". It matches the Rfam family "Bacterial small subunit ribosomal RNA", at positions 17 to 593 of the family's 1533-position model. The record is from RNAcentral.